RNAcentral lists this ribosomal RNA (497 nucleotides) under uncultured bacterium. RNAcentral describes it as "partial 16S ribosomal RNA". It matches the Rfam family "Bacterial small subunit ribosomal RNA", at positions 28 to 507 of the family's 1533-position model. The record is from RNAcentral.
GAUGAACGCUGGCGGCGUGCCUAAUACAUGCAAGUCGAGCGAACGGACGAGAAGCUUGCUUCUCUGAUGUUAGCGGCGGACGGGUGAGUAACACGUGGAUAACCUACCUAUAAGACUGGGAUAACUUCGGGAAACCGGAGCUAAUACCGGAUAAUAUUUUGAACCGCAUGGUUCAAAAGUGAAAGACGGUCUUGCUGUCACUUAUAGAUGGAUCCGCGCUGCAUUAGCUAGUUGGUAAGGUAACGGCUUACCAAGGCAACGAUGCAUAGCCGACCUGUGAGGGUGAUCGGCCACACGGGAACUGGGACACGGUCCAGACUCCUACGGGAGGCAGCAGUAGGGAAUCUUCCGCAAUGGGCGAAAGCCUGACGGAGCAACGCCGCGUGAGUGAUGAAGGUCUUCGGAUCGUAAAACUCUGUUAUUAGGGAAGAACAUAUGUGUAAGUAACUGUGCACAUCUUGACGGUACCUAAUCAGAAAGCCACGGCUAACUACGUG